RNAcentral lists this ribosomal RNA (690 nucleotides) under Triticum aestivum (bread wheat). RNAcentral describes it as "partial small subunit ribosomal RNA". The record is from RNAcentral. Lineage: Eukaryota; Viridiplantae; Streptophyta; Magnoliopsida; Poales; Poaceae.
AUGGCCACCACCAGCAAGCAGGCUCUAGCUCUCGCUUCUCUCUUGAUCCUUCUCACUGGCACCCACAUCAUUGUUGCCGCAAGAGCCCCGGUCACUGUAACUGGCAUUGGUGCUAGAGGAGGCGGCUACGGUGGUGGUGGAGGUAGAGGGGAAGGUGGUGGAAGUGCCAGCUACGGUUAUGGCUACGGUUCACGCUAUGGAGGCCGUUAUGGCUAUGGCGGAGGCAUUGGUGGUGGUGGCAAUUGGGGAGGUAGCGGUGACAUGGGCUCAGGGUACGGCUCAGGUUACGACAGUGGUUAUGGCUCAGGUUACGGUUCUGGUGGUCAAGGUGGCGGGGGAGAUAGUGGAGGAGGUGACCGCGGAUCCGGCUAUGGCAAUGGCGGUGGAUAUGGGUCUGGGUAUGGAGAAGGCCACGGGUCAGGUGGUGGCAUGAACGGUGGCAGUGGAGGAGGAGGCGGUAGAGGGGGAGGUGGUCAUGGCAUGAAUGGUGGCGAUGGAGGAGGCGGCAGUAGAGGGGGAGGUGGUGGUGGCAUGAACGGCGGCGGUGGAGGCGGCAGUGGUGGUUUUGGUUACACGCCAUCUCCAAUCCUCAUCCAAUUUCACCCAUUUUGCUUCAAAAAAGUUGGAAUUCACUUUGCGCUUCCAUUCACAAAAAUGUAUCUACCAUCGCAGGCAGCUGAAAUCCUCUAA